RNAcentral lists this transfer RNA (67 nucleotides) under Conaspidia wangi. Its description in RNAcentral is "tRNA-Thr". Lineage: Eukaryota; Metazoa; Arthropoda; Insecta; Hymenoptera; Tenthredinidae. The record is from RNAcentral.
GUUUUAAUAGUUUAUAAUUAUAAAAUAUUGAUUUUGUAAAUCAAAGAAAAAAAAAUUUUUUAAAACU